ACUCUCCAUGGAUCACAGUGAAAGAAGAGCCUCACAGCACUUGUCCUUGACAAUGGCGCCACAUGUGCCAAGCCGGCUUUGCUGGGGAUGACGCCCCCAAGCCAUGUUCCCCUCCAUUGUUGGGCGCCCCCAGCACCAGAAUAUAAACUCUGUCAGAGUAAAGACUUGUCUUUCUAGUAAGCACACAGGACAGCAUCAGAGAUAGCAUAAGGUUCCAAUAAAUAUUACUGGAACUGAGCCAGAAGGACUCCCACAUGGGUGAAGAGGCCCAGAGCAAGCAUGGCAUCCUGACAUUGAAGUACUCCUUCAAGCACAGCAUUAUUUCCAACUGGUACAACAUGGAGAAGAUCUGGCAUCAUACCCUCUGCAAUGAGCUGCAUGUGGUUCCUGAGGAGCACCCAGUGCUGCUGCCCGAGGCUCCUCUGAACCCCAAGGCCAACAGAGAGAAGUUGACUCAGAUCAUGUUUGAGACCUUGGAUACCCCCUGCCAUGUAUGUGGCACCCAGGGCCAUGCUGUCCCUGUACACCUCCGGUAGUACUACUAGUAUUGUCAUGGACUCUGGAGAUGGGGUCACUUACACAGUGCCAUCUUUGAGGGCUAUGCCUUUCCCUAGGCCAUCCUGCACCUGGACCUCAUGAAGAUCCUCACAUAGUGUGGCUACAGCUUCACCACCACUGCCUAGUGGGAGAUAGUGCGCGACAUCAAGGAGAAGCUGUGCUAUGCUGCCCUAGACUUUGAGCAGGUGAUGGCCACCAUGGCAUCCUCUUCCUCCCUGGAAAGGAGCUAGUUGCUGAUUUACGGCUAGGUCAUCACCAUCAGCAGUGAGAGGUUCUGGUGUCCAGAGGCGCUUUUCCUUUUUCCUGAGAAUGGAAUCUUGAGGCAUCCUUGGGACCACCUUCAACUCUGUCAUGAAGUGUGGUGUGCACAUUCACAAGGACCUAUAUGCUGACACAGUGCUAUCUGGAGGCACAAUCACAUACCUGGGCAUCACUGACAGGAUAUAGAAGGAGAUCACUGCCCGGACACCCAACACCACGAAGAUCAAGAUCAUCACCCCCACUGAGCUCAAAUACUCGGUGUGGAUCAGAAGCUCCAUGCUGGCCUCCCUUUCCACCUUCCAGCAGAUGUGGAUCACCCAGCAG
This 1143-nucleotide long non-coding RNA is filed under the name Homo sapiens (human). RNAcentral's name for it is "non-protein coding lnc-ASCC3-5:1". The record is from RNAcentral. Lineage: Eukaryota; Metazoa; Chordata; Mammalia; Primates; Hominidae.